RNAcentral lists this unclassified non-coding RNA (364 nucleotides) under uncultured fungus. Its description in RNAcentral is "partial contains 5.8S ribosomal RNA and internal transcribed spacer 2". The stretch from base 1 to 133 matches the Rfam family "5.8S ribosomal RNA", at positions 22 to 154 of the family's 154-position model. Lineage: Eukaryota; Fungi. The record is from RNAcentral.
UGGUUCUGGCAUCGAUGAAGAACGCAGCGAAAUGCGAUAAGUAAUGUGAAUUGCAGAAUUCAGUGAAUCAUCGAAUCUUUGAACGCACAUUGCGCCCGCCAGUAUUCUGGCGGGCAUGCCUGUCCGAGCGUCAUUUCAACCCUCAAGCCCCAGCGGCUUGGUGUUGGGGGACCGGCGACCUCGCCCGCACCUGCCUGGCCCCAGGUGCUGGGCGUCCGCCGCCCCCCGAAAUGAAUCGGCGGCCUCGUCGCGGCCUCCCCUGCGUAGUAGCACAAACCUCGCAACGGGAGCGCGACGCGGCCACCGCCGUAAAACGCCCAACUUUUUCAGAGUUGACCUCGGAUCAGGUAGGAAUACCCGCUGA